GUACACUCCUGCGGGAGGCAGCAGUGGGGAAUUUUGGACAAUGGGCGAAAGCCUGAUCCAGCAAUGCCGCGUGAGUGAAGAAGGCCUUCGGGUUGUAAAGCUCUUUUGUCAGGGAAGAAACGGUGAGAGCUAAUAUCUUUUGCUAAUGACGGUACCUGAAGAAUAAGCACCGGCUAACUACGUGCCAGCAGCCGCGGUAAUACGUAGGGUGCAAGCGUUAAUCGGAAUUACUGGGCGUAAAGCGUGCGCAGGCGGUUUUGUAAGUCUGAUGUGAAAUCCCCGGGCUCAACCUGGGAAUUGCAUUGGAGACUGCAAGGCUAGAAUCUGGCAGAGGGGGGUAGAAUUCCACGUGUAGCAGUGAAAUGCGUAGAUAUGUGGAGGAACACCGAUGGCGAAGGCAGCCCCCUGGGUCAAGAUUGACGCUCAUGCACGAAAGCGUGGGGAGCAAACAGGAUUAGAUACCCUUGUAGUCCCAU
RNAcentral lists this ribosomal RNA (476 nucleotides) under uncultured organism. RNAcentral describes it as "partial 16S ribosomal RNA". It matches the Rfam family "Bacterial small subunit ribosomal RNA", at positions 331 to 798 of the family's 1533-position model. The record is from RNAcentral.